GUCCCUGUAGCUUAUAGUAAAGCAUGGCACUGAAGAUGCCAAGACGGUUGCCUUCAUCAUACCCAGGGACA
This 71-nucleotide transfer RNA is filed under the name Gavia arctica. Its description in RNAcentral is "tRNA-Phe". It matches the Rfam family "tRNA". From Rfam's summary of the family: Transfer RNA (tRNA) molecules are approximately 80 nucleotides in length. Their secondary structure includes four short double-helical elements and three loops (D, anti-codon, and T loops). Lineage: Eukaryota; Metazoa; Chordata; Aves; Gaviiformes; Gaviidae. The record is from RNAcentral.